GCGGAUAUGGUUCAGUGGUAGAAUGCGAGCUUCCCAAGCUUGAGAUGCGGGUUCGAUUCCCGUUAUCCGCU
This 71-nucleotide transfer RNA is filed under the name Anaerotaenia torta. RNAcentral's name for it is "tRNA-Gly". It matches the Rfam family "tRNA". Rfam says of the family: Transfer RNA (tRNA) molecules are approximately 80 nucleotides in length. Their secondary structure includes four short double-helical elements and three loops (D, anti-codon, and T loops). Lineage: Bacteria; Bacillati; Bacillota; Clostridia; Lachnospirales; Lachnospiraceae. RNAcentral also lists the same sequence under 1 other name. The record is from RNAcentral.